RNAcentral lists this ribosomal RNA (398 nucleotides) under uncultured bacterium. Its description in RNAcentral is "bacterial SSU rRNA". It matches the Rfam family "Bacterial small subunit ribosomal RNA", at positions 109 to 507 of the family's 1533-position model. The record is from RNAcentral.
AGUAAUGCCUAGGAAUCUGCCUGGUAGUGGGGGAGUAACGUUCGGAAACGGACGCUAAUACCGCAUACGUCCUACGGGAGAAAGUAGGGGGAGUCUUCGGACCUCACGCUAUCAGAUGAGCCUAGGUCGGAUUAGCUAGUUGGUGAGGUAAUGGCUCACCAAGGCGACGAUCCGUAACUGGUCUGAGAGGAUGAUCAGUCGCACUGGAACUGAGACACGGUCCAGACUCCUACGGGAGGCAGCAGUGGGGAAUAUUGGACAAUGGGCGCAAGCCUGAUCCAGCCAUGCCGCGUGUGUGAAGAAGGUCUUCGGAUUGUAAACCUCUUUUGGCAGGAAACAAACCUGCGCUAUACGCGCAGCUGAGGGUACCUGCAGAAUAAGCACCGGCUAACUCCGUG